CAAGUAGGACAAAUAAUCGCGGCUGUUAUAGAUGACUUCCGCUUUGCGGAACAUCAUUAACAGGUGAGGAAAGUCCGGGCUUCACAGGGCAGGAUGCCGGAUAACGUCCGGUGGAGGCGACUCCAAGGCCAGUGCAACAGAAAUAAACCGCCACAACAAGUCAAGCUCGGCUAAUGCCGAGUCUUGUGGUAAGGGUGGAAAGGCAGCUUAAGAGACUACCGCCUGCACGGUAACGGGCAGGGCACAUGUAAACCCCAUCCGAAGCAAGACCAAACAGAAAGCGUUAAAACCGGCCCGGUGAGCUUUCAGGUGGGUCGCUGGAUGCUGCCGGUAACGGCAGUACUAGAUAGAUGAUUAUUCACGACAUAACCCGGCUUAUCGUUCUGCUUGAUUC
RNAcentral lists this RNase P RNA (394 nucleotides) under Lachnospiraceae bacterium. Its description in RNAcentral is "RNase P RNA component class A". It matches the Rfam family "Bacterial RNase P class A". From Rfam's summary of the family: Ribonuclease P (RNase P) is a ubiquitous endoribonuclease, found in archaea, bacteria and eukarya as well as chloroplasts and mitochondria. Lineage: Bacteria; Bacillati; Bacillota; Clostridia; Lachnospirales; Lachnospiraceae. The record is from RNAcentral.